Molecule: long non-coding RNA, 1532 nt
Organism: Melospiza georgiana
Lineage: Eukaryota; Metazoa; Chordata; Aves; Passeriformes; Passerellidae
Exons: 3
Source: RefSeq, a predicted model, not a curated record
UAUACAUGUUACGGAAUUAUAUUUAUAUGUAUGUAGUUCCAUUCAUAGAUUUUGAGAUUUAUGUUUAUAUGUGUAUAGAGUAACAUAUAUAUAUUUAUAUAUAGGUAUUAAAGUGCAUAGCUAUUUAGUUAGAGGUUUGUGGCAACUUAGAUGCAUAGAUUGAGCUGUGUAGGCCUAGGCUGCAUUUGUACCUCUUUCCCCCUCGGCUGCCUUUUUCACCUCUUGCUUUUCCCCCGGUGCCCCCUGUGUCCCCUGUCCCUGUGCUGGGUCCGAGCUGGCGGCCGGGCCGGGCGGAGCAGCACUUCCAGCCCCGGCUGUCCCUGGAGCGGUGGGAGCUGCCGCUGGCCCCAGGCACUGUCCCCCGAGGAGCUGCUGAAGGACGCUGCAAGGAAGACCUUGAGGACAGCCAGAGACUGACGGGAGGCAGCAGGGAGGAGCUGAAGGCCAGCAGCAAGAGCAGUGAACGGGGACCUGCUGCUGCCAGCCUGGAGAGAGCCCGGAUGUCCCAUCUGCUGUCACUGUCCAGGAGAGCUGCUCUGCACGGGAGGAGGAGACCGAGGGAGAGGCUUUGAAGAUGGGGCAGCUGGGAUCCCUCUGCUUGGAGUGCUGUUUAUAGAUGUUUGGACUUACACCUAGACAGGGAUAAUUAUAUGGAUAUGUACAUGUGCAGGUUUCUAUUUGUAUAGGAAUAUUUCUAUAUGAAUGUUGGUAUAUUUAUGGAUGUAUUAUAUAUAUGUAUGCAUAUAUAUACAUAUGUGUUUGUAAUUACUUACAUGUGUAUAUAUGUAUCUAUGUAUACAUGUACGUUGUUAUAUCUCUGUUUAGUUCUAUUUCCUAGGUUUACAGCUGUGUAGGUGUCUAUUUGUAUUGAUGCAGUUAUAGGUAUAUGUCUCUUUAAAUAGGUAUAAUGGAAUUUGUAUUGGUUGAUAUGUCUCUUUUUGUAUUUUUUAUUGUAGAUUGAUCUUCUGUCUAUUUAAUGUUAUUUACGUAUGUGUCUAGAUGUAUAGAUAUAUUUUUGCAUUGAUACAGUUGGGUGGAUAUUUAGUUUGGUGAUAUUUGUAUAUUUAUAGAUAGGUUUGUUUUAUAUAUCUACUGAUAUAUAUAUUGUAAGUAAUAUGUGAUGUUUUAUCUAUAUUUACACCUUUAGAUUUUUAUACUUGUAUUUAUAUAUAUCUUCAUAUAUGUAUGUUUUUAAUUCAAUUUCAACAUGUAUAGAGUGGUAUAGUUGUGUAAUUCUAUAAAUUGAAUUCUUAUUGUAGGUCUUUUUAGAGAGGGAAUGUGUAUUUUUGUAUUUAUGUGUGGGAUGUGCAUUUGUAGUAAUAGGUAAUAAAUUAAGUCCUUAAACACUUAAUUGAUCUUUGUGUAUAGAGAGUUCUUGUAGAUUUUGGCAAUAAAUAAGUUUUUCUUACCUGAAGUUGGUAUUUGUAGAUCUUUACACAGACUAGUUGUAAUAAUCUAAUAAAUUCCUGGUUUUUAACUUAAACUGAGAUUUGUAUUGUUCUGUAUUGUCAGUGUGGGUGUAGCAAUUUGUA